This 622-nucleotide ribosomal RNA is filed under the name uncultured archaeon. RNAcentral's name for it is "bacterial SSU rRNA". The stretch from base 102 to 615 matches the Rfam family "Archaeal small subunit ribosomal RNA", at positions 830 to 1343 of the family's 1478-position model. The record is from RNAcentral.
AAGACCGAAGCUGGGGAGCGGACGGAUGAUACCGUAUCAGCAGUAAUCAGCGUUAGUUGCUUAACUACGAGUACGGGUGCGAGUGAAACGGAACGUGCGCCUGGGAGUACGUCGUAGGCUGAAACUAAAGGAUGGCGGGGGAGCACCACAACGGGUGGAGCCUGCGGUUUAAUUGGACUCAACGCCGGGCAGCUCACCGGAUAGGACAGCGGAAUGAUAGCCGGGCUGAAGACCUUGCUUGACCAGCUGAGAGGAGGUGCAUGGCCGUCGUCAGUUCGUACUGUGAAGCAUCCUGUUUAGUCAGGCAACGAGCGAGACCCACGCCAACAGUUGGUAGCAUGUUCUCCCGGAAUGAUGAGGACAAAAGAUAGGACCGCCUCUGCUAAAGAGGAGGAAGGAAAAGUUUUUCGUUUUAGUCAGCAUGCCCCGAAUUAUCCGGGCUACACGCGGGCUACAAUGGUCAGGACAAUGGGAAACGGAAAAAGAAAAGUGUAGUCAAUCUCCUAAACCUGUCCCAAGUUCGGAUUGUGGGCUGCAACUCGCCCACAUGAAGCUGGAAUCCGUAGUAAUCGCGUUUCAAAAUAGCGCGGUGAAUAAGUCCCUGCUCCUUGCACACACCGUA